GAUGAACGCUGGCGGCGUGCCUAAUACAUGCAAGUAGAACGCUGAAGGAAGGAGCUUGCUCUUUCUGGAUGAGUUGCGAACGGGUGAGUAACGCGUAGGUAACCUGCCUGGUAGCGGGGGAUAACUAUUGGAAACGAUAGCUAAUACCGCAUAACAGUAGAUGUUGCAUGACAUUUACUUGAAAGGGGCAAUUGCUCCACUACCAGAUGGACCUGCGUUGUAUUAGCUAGUUGGUGAGGUAACGGCUCACCAAGGCGACGAUACAUAGCCGACCUGAGAGGGUGAUCGGCCACACUGGGACUGAGACACGGCCCAGACUCCUACGGGAGGCAGCAGUAGGGAAUCUUCGGCAAUGGACGGAAGUCUGACCGAGCAACGCCGCGUGAGUGAAGAAGGUUUUCGGAUCGUAAAGCUCUGUUGUAAGAGAAGAACGAGUGUGAGAGUGGAAAGUUCACACUGUGACGGUAUCUUAUCAGAAAGGGACGGCUAACUACGUGCCAGCAGCCGCGGUAAUACGUAGGUCCCGAGCGUUAUCCGGAUUUAUUGGGCGUAAAGCGAGCGCAGGCGGUUAGAUAAGUCUGAAGUUAAAGGCUGUGGCUUAACCAUAGUACGCUUUGGAAACUGUUUAACUUGAGUGCAGAAGGGGAGAGUGGAAUUCCAUGUGUUGCGGUGAAAUGCGUAGAUAUAUGGAGGAACACCGGUGGCGAAAGCGGCUCUCUGGUCUGUAACUGACGCUGAGGCUCGAAAGCGUGGGGGAGCAAACGGGAUUUAUACCCCUAGUUGUCCGAGGGUGAAUUCCACAGUGUAUAUCAUGCGUAUCGAUUGGGGUGACUGCGGGGGGAUAAACGUGCUCGAUUUUGUUCCCUUUUGUGAGGGUUAUUUAAUGCUGCUUGUGUUUGGUGUGGAGGUUGUGAUGGCCUGUCUGUGUGUUGGUGUGUUGUGCCUGAUGUGUGUGUGCGUGUGUGUUUUUUUUUGUUGUUUGGUUGUGCUGUGUGUGGCUCUGGUGUUGUUGCUAUAUUGUGUUGAUUGUUUGUUUGUUAGUCUGUGCCCCAUGCUGUGUGGCGAUAUGUAUGCUGCUGUGACUCUGUC
Molecule: ribosomal RNA, 1089 nt
Filed under: uncultured Porphyromonadaceae bacterium
Lineage: Bacteria; Pseudomonadati; Bacteroidota; Bacteroidia; Bacteroidales; Porphyromonadaceae
Description: bacterial SSU rRNA
Rfam family: Bacterial small subunit ribosomal RNA (bases 1-868)
Source: RNAcentral